GUUCCGGUGCAAUGUGCUCAGGCAUCGUAACAGAGGUUUGAUUCUGGCUCAGAUUGAACGCUGGCGGGAUGCUUUACACAUGCAAGUCCGAACGGCAGCACGGACUUCGGUCUGGUGGCGAGUGGUGAACAGGUGAGUAAUGUAUCGGAACGUGCCUAGUAGCGGGGGAUAACUACGCGAAAGCGUAGCUAAUACCACAUACGCCCUUCGGGGGAAAGCGGGGACAGCCGGUCGCACUAUGAAACAACCGAUAUCGGAUUAGCUAGUUGAUGGGGUAACGGCUCACCAAGGCGACGAUCGUAGCUGGUUUGAAGGACGACCAGCCACACUGGGACUGAGACACGGCCCAGACUCCUACGGGAGGCAGCAGUGGGAAUUUUGGACAAUGGGGGAAACCUGAUCCAGCCAUCCCGCGUGUGCGAUGAAGGCCUUCGGGUUGUAAGCACUUUUUUGGCAGGAAAAGAAACGGCACGGGAUAAUACCCCGUGCAACUGACGGUACCUGCAGAAUAAGCACCGGCUAACUACGUGCCCAGCAGCCGCGGUAAUACGUAGGGUGCAAGCGUUAAUCGGAAUUACUGGGCGUAAAGCGUGCAGGCGGUUCCGGAAAGAAAGAUGUAAAUCCCAGGCUUAACUUUGGAACUGCAUUUUUAACUACCGAGCUAGAGUGUGUCAGAGGAGGUGGAAUUCCACGCGUGCCAGCAGUGAAAUGCGUAAGUCUGCGGAGGAACACCAAUGGCGAAGGCAGCCUCCUGGAAUAACACUGACGCUCAUGCAGCGUGGGAGCAAACAGGAUUAGAUACCCUGGUAGUCCACGCCCUAAACGAUGUCAACUAGCUGUUGGGGCCUUCGGGCCUUGGCGGCCUGGCUAACGCGUGAAGUUGACCGCCUGAGAAAUACAAUCGCAAAUUAAAACUCCGAGGAAUUGACGGGGACCCACAAGCGGUGGAUGAUGUGGAUUAAUUCGAUGCAACGCGAAAAACCUUACCUACCCUUGACAUGUCUGGAAUCCGAAGAGAUUUGGAGUAUCGCAAGAGAACCGGAACACAGGUGCUGCAUGGCUGUCGUCAGCUCGUGUCGUGAGAUGUUGGGUUAAGUCCCGCAACGAGCGCAACCCUUGUCAUUAGUUGCUACGAAAGGGCACUCUAAUGAGACCCGCCGGUGACAAACCGGAGGAAGGUGGGGAUGACGUCAAGUCCUCAUGGCCCUUAUAGCUGGGGCUUCACGUCAUACAAUGGUCGGGACAGAGGGUCGCCAACCCGCGAGGAGCCAAUCCCAGAAACCCGAUCGUAGUCCGGAUCCUGAUCUACAACUCGACUGCGUGAAGUCGGAAUCGCUGAUAAUCGCGGAUCAACUAUCUGUCGCGGUGAAUACGUUCCCGGGUCUUGUACACACCGCCCGUCACACACCAUGGGAGUGGGUUUACCAGAAGUAGUUAGCCUAACCGUAAGGAGGGCGAUUACCACGGUAGGAUUCAUGACUGGGGUGAAGUCGUAACAAGGUAG
RNAcentral lists this ribosomal RNA (1504 nucleotides) under uncultured Bordetella sp. RNAcentral's name for it is "partial 16S-23S ribosomal RNA intergenic spacer". It matches the Rfam family "Bacterial small subunit ribosomal RNA". The record is from RNAcentral. Lineage: Bacteria; Pseudomonadati; Pseudomonadota; Betaproteobacteria; Burkholderiales; Alcaligenaceae.